This 374-nucleotide ribosomal RNA is filed under the name uncultured Glomeromycotina. Its description in RNAcentral is "LSU rRNA". The record is from RNAcentral. Lineage: Eukaryota; Fungi; Glomeromycota.
UUGAAAGGGAAACGAUUGAAGUCAGUCGUACCUGUGGGUAAUCAGCCUUUUGGGUGUGAUUUUGUGGAGUGUGAGGAGUUAAACGCCUUCAUGCCUGCAUAUUCGUGCACUUUGGGUGUAUUUACCCGUGUGGUAAGUUAACAUCAAUUUCGGUGAUCAUAAAAUGGCUGGAGGAAUGUAGCUUCGAUCUUGUAUUGAAGUGUUAUAGCCUUUGGUAAAUGUGAUGAUUAGGAUCGAGGAUUGCAACGAAUACCCUUUUGGGCUAUCCGCCUGAUCUCUGAUACGUGGCCUUGGUAUCGAAAGCUUGCUUACGGUUAUCAAAGUCGACGGUCAAAAGGUUAGAACGGGUUAAAUUCGUUAAGGAUGUUGACGUA